Molecule: ribosomal RNA, 253 nt
Filed under: uncultured bacterium
Lineage: Bacteria
Description: partial 16S ribosomal RNA
Rfam family: Bacterial small subunit ribosomal RNA
Source: RNAcentral
UACGGAGGGGGCUAGCGUUGUUCGGAAUUACUGGGCGUAAAGCGCACGUAGGCGGCUUUGUAAGUUAGAGGUGAAAGCCCGUAGCUCAACUCCGGAACUGCCUUUAAGACUGCAUCGCUUGAACGUCGGAGAGGUAAGUGGAAUUCCGAGUGUAGAGGUGAAAUUCGUAGAUAUUCGGAAGAACACCAGUGGCGAAGGCGACUUACUGGACGACUGUUGACGCUGAGGUGCGAAAGCGUGGGGAGCAAACAGG